Molecule: ribosomal RNA, 506 nt
Filed under: uncultured bacterium
Lineage: Bacteria
Description: partial 16S ribosomal RNA
Rfam family: Bacterial small subunit ribosomal RNA
Source: RNAcentral
AUUGAACGCUGGCGGCAGGCCUAACACAUGCAAGUCGAGCGGCAGCGGAAAGUAGCUUGCUACUUUGCCGGCGAGCGGCGGACGGGUGAGUAAUGUCUGGGAAACUGCCUGGUGGAGGGGGAUAACUACUGGACACGGUAGCUAAUACCGCAUAACGUCGCAAGACCAAAGAGGGGGACCUUCGGGCCUCCUGCCAGCAGAUGUGCCCAGAUGGGAUGGGCUAGUAGGUGGGGUAACGGCGCACCUAGGCUACGGUCCCUAGCUGGUCGGGGAGGAUGACCAGCCACACUGGAACUGAGACACGGUCCAGACUCCUACGGGAGGCAGCAGUGGGGAAUAUUGCACAAUGGGCGCAAGCCUGAUGCAGCCAUGCCGCGUGUAUGAAGAAGGCCUUCGGGUUGUAAAGUACUUUCAGCGGGGAGGGAGGCGUUGAGGGUAAUAACCUCAGCGACUGACGUUACCCGCAGAAGAAGCACCGGCUAACUCCGUGCCAGCCGCCGCGGUAA